This is a non-coding RNA of Gorilla gorilla gorilla (western lowland gorilla), 147 nucleotides long. It matches the Rfam family "Metazoan signal recognition particle RNA". From Rfam's summary of the family: The signal recognition particle (SRP) is a universally conserved ribonucleoprotein. The record is from Rfam. Lineage: Eukaryota; Metazoa; Chordata; Mammalia; Primates; Hominidae.
GCUGGGCGUGGUGGCGCGCGCCUGUAAUCCCAGCUACUCAGGAGGCUGAGGCAGGAGAAUCGCUUGAACUCGGGACGCGAGGUUGUAGUGAGCCAAGAUCGCGUCACUGCAUUCCAGCCUGGGCGACAGAGCGAGACUCUGUCUCAA